AUUUGGGGAAUUACCAAACUGACAAAAGACCCACGGUGAAUUCAUGAGUCUUGCGCAGUCUGCCCCUCGCCUGAAAAUAUUAUUGGAUUGUGAUGGUGCGGAAAAAUAAACGUGCAAUACAAGUUGCGGAACCAUUAUCAAAUGAAAACAAGAACUGGAGUACGACUGAAACCAUGAUCAGGGUUACUCACAAAACAACAAAGGUCAUGCUGAAUUUAAUUGCGUUGAAAAAAAUAACCGAAUUGGAUUUUUUUCAACUAAUAAUGUGAUUGCCCAGAACAUCACUCUGGUGCUAUAUUCGGGGAAACAAACGUUAACAGAUUA
Pelobates cultripes (western spadefoot toad) is the source of this 324-nucleotide non-coding RNA. The record is from the annotation of a GenBank genome assembly. NCBI's taxonomy places the organism in Eukaryota, Metazoa, Chordata, Amphibia, Anura, Pelobatidae.